UCUGUUAAAUUUACCCGAAGGCCCUUCACACUAGCAUAUAAACAUUACCUGGCAAACCAAUAUAACUGUUCCUUACAUCGCUAUAAGAUAUGUACACGUGUGCAUCUCUCUCAUACACACACACACAAACACAUACAGGGAUACAUAUAUGCAUGCAUCAUAGCGCAUCCGUGAGCCUCCAUGACGCUCCAGGUGGGCCCUCCGGAGCACCUUACCGGAAUGGUAUAUGGUGCUCGGCAGGCAGGCUCUGGUGCGCCCGCCCGUACUGGGACGUACCACCUGCAACCCACCACUGAUGCAUGCACAUGUGCACUACCUACACACAGGAAAGCUUUCCUUGACUUCCAAAAGCAAGGCCACCCAAUCAUUAGCAUUUACAUAAGAGGAUGCCAGAAAAGUAAUGGUUCAGCAAAAUUCAAGAUCACCAAGAUUUUUUUCAAGUCGUUCUAACAGAGGAGAUACCAGCCUUUGAGUCAGUUUACACUUUGAUUUUUUGGCCAGAGAAUAAAUCGCUGAGCCUACACAACUUUGGUGAAAAUUUACUAACUAGAUGAUAAGAGAUUUGUGUGCGCGCAGCCACACAAGCGACAGGAGGGAGUUUCAUCAUACGACCAUUCUCGUCCACUCCCCCUUUCUACCUCCAUGGAAACAUGCUGUGCGAUUUGCUUGCUAAAGGGACGGCUUUCAGAAAAGCAGGCUGCCUUGCAAAGCGAGUGAGGAAGCAGGGCUGUCCUCCCUUAACAAGGACAGUUGGCAUGUGUGACAGCUGCACAGUGGCCGGGGAUUAUCUCUCUGGCGCACACAGCCGCUUUUGCGUGGCAGGAAGGAAGGAAGCCAAAGGCAAUAUCUCCCGGGACUCGCGCUGCAAUUUUCGGUGUGCCCGAGAGAGGCCGCCUGAGCAAACAAAAGCCUCGGCUUUUUCUAUCAGCAGCUCGGACGAGGUUUCGCACAAAGACGCUUUUCCUUGCCGUUUGACCCAGCCACCCCCGCCUGCACUGAACAUCUUGCAAUCCUAACCGCGUACCCGCGCAGCAGCUGGUCCCAUUUGCUUCAAAGAUCGAGGACCAGAGUGUCCUAUCCCGGCCGCCUCUCGAGUGCGCUGUGGCCGGCCGGCCUGCCUACCUUCCACCGGUCGCUCACCCCUAUUUGCCUGGCGCUGCCAGCGGAACUAACAACAGCAAGCUCCCAUUUUCUGUUGUUCAGAAAGGGGAUGAGAAACCUACACAUUACCAGCAAUGCAACGUUUCAGAGUAAUCCUUAGGGACCUGAUUGUUAAUGAGGCAAGGCAGCAUCUGCUGUAUGUUGCAUAACGAUCUCUCGGUUAGUCGUUUCAAUGCAACCUUAUUUGCAUCAAAGAAGAAAGACGAAUGUUUUUCGGCUCUCCUCGCGAACCCUCCCCCACCCUGCCCUCCGAGCCCUGAUUUGCAGACUCCUCUGGCGGGAGAGCUCUCCCUAAUUACAAGAUCUUUUCCAACAGGGGGCGUGUAAACCCAGCAGCAGUUUGACUUCAAUUCUGCCUCGGCGACAUUUAAUAGAUUCUGGCAGUGUUUUCACUUACAACCCUUCGUUAGGCAGGGGAAUCGGGAAUAAUUACCCGGCAAUAAAAUAUCUCUCUUGCACAGAACCUCGUGGCGCGAGGUCUUCGCUAGGAGGCUAUUACUCUUGUCAAUAUUUUUUAGAGAAAUAUAUUUGAUUGUGGUUCCGCUGCCCCUCCUUCCUGCCCUUAUACACCUAACAAUUAGAAGAACCGGUGCGCACACAUGCACGGGCACUCCUGCUGAUUCGCACUGAUUUCUGUGGUGGCCUUUCAGCUCCGGCGGUCCUUGGAGGAAACCAAU
Molecule: long non-coding RNA, 1838 nt
Organism: Thamnophis elegans (Western terrestrial garter snake)
Lineage: Eukaryota; Metazoa; Chordata; Lepidosauria; Squamata; Natricidae
Exons: 3
Source: RefSeq, a predicted model, not a curated record